CCCCUAAUGCAGCCAAAGGCAGUGACAAGCCUGCACAAAUGCAGAGUCGGGA
RNAcentral lists this non-coding RNA (52 nucleotides) under unclassified sequences. The record is from RNAcentral.